Non-coding RNA from Paramuricea clavata, 202 nucleotides. The record is from the annotation of a GenBank genome assembly. Lineage: Eukaryota; Metazoa; Cnidaria; Anthozoa; Malacalcyonacea; Plexauridae.
AACGUCGAUAUUCGACGUCAUAAACACGAUCAACUUUGGUGUUUAUGACGUCGAUAUUCGACGUCAUAAACACGAGCAACUUCGGUGUUUAUGACGUCGAUAUUCGACGUCAUAAACACGACAACUUUGGUGUUUAUGACGUCGAUAUUCGACGUCAUAAACACGGUCAACUUUGGUGUUUAUGACGUCGAUAUUCGACGUC